UACGUAGGGUGCAAGCGUUAAUCGGAAUUACUGGGCGUAAAGCGUGCGCAGGCGGUUGUGUAAGACGGAUGUGAAAUCCCCGGGCUUAACCUGGGAAUUGCAUUUGUGACUGCACGACUAGAGUGUGUCAGAAAAAAAUGGAAUUCCACGUGUAGCAGUGAAAUGCGUAGAUAUGUGGAGGAACACCAAUGGCGAAGGCAGCCCCCUGGGAUAACACUGACGCUCAUGCACGAAAGCGUGGGGAGCAAACAGG
Molecule: ribosomal RNA, 253 nt
Filed under: uncultured bacterium
Lineage: Bacteria
Description: partial 16S ribosomal RNA
Rfam family: Bacterial small subunit ribosomal RNA
Source: RNAcentral